This 503-nucleotide ribosomal RNA is filed under the name uncultured bacterium. Its description in RNAcentral is "partial 16S ribosomal RNA". It matches the Rfam family "Bacterial small subunit ribosomal RNA", at positions 30 to 523 of the family's 1533-position model. The record is from RNAcentral.
AUUGAACGCUGGCGGCAGGCUUAACACAUGCAAGUCGAGCGGGGUGAUGGUGCUUGCACUAUCACUUAGCGGCGGACGGGUGAGUAAUGCUUAGGAAUCUGCCUAUUAGUGGGGGACAACAUCUCGAAAGGGAUGCUAAUACCGCAUACGUCCUACGGGAGGAAGCAGGGGAUCACUUGUGACCUUGCGCUAAUAGAUGAGCCUAAGUCGGAUUAGCUAGUUGGUGGGGUAAAGGCCUACCAAGGCGACGAUCUGUAGCGGGUCUGAGAGGAGGAGCCGCCACACUGGGACUGGGACACGGCCCAGACUCCUACGGGUGGCAGCAGUGGGGAAUAUUGGACAAUGGGGGGAACCCUGAUCCAGCCAUGCCGCGUGUGUGAAGAAGGCCUUAUGGUUGUAAAGCACUUUAAGCGAGGAGGAGGCUCUUUUGGUUAAUACCCAAGAUGAGUGGACGUUACUCGCAGAAUAAGCACCGGCUAACUCUGUGCCAGCCGCCGCCGUAA